Molecule: long non-coding RNA, 1905 nt
Organism: Acinonyx jubatus (cheetah)
Lineage: Eukaryota; Metazoa; Chordata; Mammalia; Carnivora; Felidae
Exons: 2
Source: RefSeq, a predicted model, not a curated record
AUCUCUGUGGAGACUGUAGCACCUGCUAAGAAAUUCCGCUCACCUCACCGAGUUGCCCCGAGUUGCCUCGUCAGGAUGGCAGCACGAGGAGCUCCACAGACCCACUUCCCAGGGAAACAAGCAAAGCUGAGGGACUGAAGAUUGAGUUAAUGAUAGAUCAUGCCUCCAUGUAUGGAAUGAAGCCUCCAUAAAAUUCCCAAAGUAUGGGAUUCGAAGAUCUGGUUUCGUGAACACACUUAUAUGCCAAGAGGGUGACACACCCCAACUCCACGAGGACAGAAGCUCCUGCUCUCGGGACUUUUCCAGACCUCAUGUAUCCCUUCAUCUGACUACUUAUUCAUAUCCUUUAUCAUACCCUCUAUAAUAAACUGGCAAACAUAAAUCAGUAUUCUCCUGAGUUCUGUAAGCCACUCCAGCAAGUUAUCAACCCCUAGGAGGGGGUUAUAGGAACCCCAAUUUAUAGCCAUGUAGUCAUAAGUACAGAUGAUAAUCUGGAACUUUCCAUUGGCAUCUGAAGUGGGGCUGUCCUUUGGGAGGACCUAGCUAGCUCAGUCAGAAGAGCAUGCAACUCUUGAUCUCAGGAUUGUGAGUUAAAGCCCCAUACUGGGUGUAGAGGUUACUUAAAUCAACAAAUUAACUUGAAGUGGGGCAGUCUUGCAAGGGUCAACCCUUAGACUGUGGGAUCUGACACUAACUCCAGGUAGUGUCAGAACUGAAUUGAAUUGUAGGACAACUGGCUGGUGUUGCAGAACUGCAUGAUGGGUGGGAAACACACACAUCUAGUGUCAGGAGUGUUGUGAGUGUUACAGUGGUAUGAGAAUAAAAGAGAAACACAGGAGUGUUUUUCUUUGUUUUCAAGAUUUUACUUUUAAGUGAUCUCCACACCUAACGUGUGGCUCAAACUCCCAAUUCUGGGAUCAAGAGUCUCAUGCUCUACCAACUGAGCCAUCAAGGUGCCCCAGGAGUGUUUUUCUUAUACAAAGGGUUACUGUAUUUCACCAGGAGAAGCAAGCUACCAGCACUUCUCAUCUCCAAGUUGAAGGGGCUAAGUUACUGGUGAGUGUAGCCAAGAGGUCAAGGGUUCCUGUUCUCAACCUACAGAAUGGAGGUUCUAGCCCAGGGGAAGCAGGCCAAGAAUUCUGAGGUCCUGAUCACUCCUGCCCCAUCAUUUCUAGGGCAGAGAGAGGUUCCACACCAGAAAAGCAAGCUGAGAAGACCAGGGGCUACCAAACCCACUCAGCUCCCUAAAUAGUGGAUCACAGAUAUUGCCUGGGGGAAAGGCAGCCAGUUAGAAAAGAGAGCUCUGAAGCUCUCCCCAGAGGAAUUGAUUUUAUUUGAAAUUGAGCAUAGAGAAGUUCAAAUUUAAGGACACUCUUAAAAACAAUAGUUCCUCUUAAUUAAGAGCAACACACUAAACCAUAGGCCAGCUAAUUCACUAGAGAUAACCAGGAGAAAAGAGAGCUAAGAAUAGCCCACCUACUCAACAAGUGGCCUCUGAAACUACCCUUGCCUGAAUUUAAUUGGAUCAGACCAAUGAACAAUGUAUGCCCCAGGGCACGGUAGAAAAUAAUACAGCAAUUAGCCAGUAAUUAGUGGAACCUAACAUAUUGAUGUAAUACAAAAUGAGGCAGACAGCUUAACAGAGAGAUCAAGGAAAGACACACUCAAAAAGAGCCCUGCUGGGGCGCCUGGGUGGCUCAGUCGGUUGAGCUUGAGCGUCUGACUUCAGCUCAGGUCAUGAUCUCAAGGUCUGUGAGUUCGAGCCCUGCAUCGGGCUCUGUGCUGACGGCUCAGAGCCUGGAGCCUGCUUCUGAUUCUGUGUCUCCCUCUCUCUCUCUGCCCCUCCCCCGCUCAUGCUCUGUCUCUCUCUGUCAAAAAUAAAUAAACAUUAAAAAAAAAAAAAAA